This 215-nucleotide long non-coding RNA is filed under the name Physcomitrium patens. RNAcentral describes it as "long non-coding RNA (PPAT_LNC014438)". Lineage: Eukaryota; Viridiplantae; Streptophyta; Bryopsida; Funariales; Funariaceae. The record is from RNAcentral.
UUUGGUUAGGGUUUGAUUUAGGAUUUAGGAUUUGGAGUAGGAUUUGGUUAGGGUUUGAUUUAGGAUUUAGGAUUUGAUUUAGGGUUUGGUUAGGAUUUGGUUUAGGAUUUGGUUGGGAUUUGAUUUAGGGUUUAGGAUUUUAUUAGGAUUUAAGAUUCAAUUAGUUUUGGCCUAAAGUUUGAAUGAAGUUCAAUAGGAUUUAAACUAGAAUUAAA